GCGAUAAGCGCCGGUAAGGUGAUAUGAACCGUUAUAACCGGCGAUACCCGAAUGGGGAAACCCAGUGUGAUUCGUCACACUAUCAUUAACUGAAUCCAUAGGUUAAUGAGGCGAACCGGGGGAACUGAAACAUCUAAGUACCCCGAGGAAAAGAAAUCAACCGAGAUUCCCCCAGUAGCGGCGAGCGAACGGGGAGGAGCCCAGAGCCUGAAUCAGCAUGUGUGUUAGUGGAAGCGUCUGGAAAGGCGCGCGAUACAGGGUGACAGCCCCGUACACAAAAGCGCAUGUGCUGUGAGCUCGAUGAGUAGGGCGGGACACGUGGUAUCCUGUCUGAAUAUGGGGGGACCAUCCUCCAAGGCUAAAUACUCCUGACUGACCGAUAGUGAACCAGUACCGUGAGGGAAAGGCGAAAAGAACCCCGGCGAGGGGAGUGAAAAAGAACCUGAAACCGUGUACGUACAAGCAGUGGGAGCACCCUUUGGGUGUGACUGCGUACCUUUUGUAUAAUGGGUCAGCGACUUAUAUUCUGUAGCAAGGUUAACCGAAUAGGGGAGCCGGAGGGAAACCGAGUCUUAAC
Molecule: ribosomal RNA, 577 nt
Filed under: Salmonella enterica subsp. enterica serovar Enteritidis
Lineage: Bacteria; Pseudomonadati; Pseudomonadota; Gammaproteobacteria; Enterobacterales; Enterobacteriaceae
Description: partial 23S ribosomal RNA
Rfam family: Bacterial large subunit ribosomal RNA
Source: RNAcentral